UACGUAGGGGGCAAGCGUUGUCCGGAAUUAUUGGGCGUAAAGAGCGUGUAGGCGGCCAGAUAAGUCCGCUGUGAAAUCUCGAGGCUCAACUUCGAGCUGUCGGUGGAAACUAUCUGGCUAGAGUCCGGAAGAGGAGAAUGGAAUUCCUGGUGUAGCGGUGAAAUGCGCAGAUAUCUGGAGGAACACCGGUGGCGAAGGCGGCAUCCUGGACCAAUACUGACGCUGAGGAGCGAAAGCCAGGGGAGCAAACGGG
This 253-nucleotide ribosomal RNA is filed under the name uncultured bacterium. RNAcentral describes it as "partial 16S ribosomal RNA". It matches the Rfam family "Bacterial small subunit ribosomal RNA", at positions 524 to 776 of the family's 1533-position model. The record is from RNAcentral.